Molecule: ribosomal RNA, 458 nt
Filed under: uncultured bacterium
Lineage: Bacteria
Description: partial 16S ribosomal RNA
Rfam family: Bacterial small subunit ribosomal RNA
Source: RNAcentral
CCUACGGGAGGCAGCAGUGAGGAAUAUUGGUCAAUGGGCGAGAGCCUGAACCAGCCAAGUCGCGUGAGGGAGUACUGCCCUAUGGGUUGUAAACCUCUUUUGUCGGGGAGCAAAAGCCGGACGUGUCCGGCUGUGAGAGUACCCGAAGAAAAAGCAUCCGCUAACUCCGUGCCAGCAGCCGCGGUAAUACGGAGGAUGCGAGCGUUAUCCGGAUUUAUUGGGUUUAAAGGGUGCGCAGGCGGAUUUUUAAGUCAGCGGUAAAAUCGUGGGGCUCAACCCCAUCCAGCCGUUGAAACUGGGGAUCUAGAGUGUGCGAGAGGUAUGCGGAAUGCGUGGUGUAGCGGUGAAAUGCAUAGAUAUCACGCAGAACCCCGAUUGCGAAGGCAGCAUACCGGUGCACAACUGACGCUCAGGCACGAAAGCGUGGGUAUCGAACAGGAUUAGAUACCCUAGUAGUC